RNAcentral lists this ribosomal RNA (252 nucleotides) under Lucilia papuensis. RNAcentral's name for it is "partial 28S ribosomal RNA". It matches the Rfam family "Eukaryotic large subunit ribosomal RNA", at positions 125 to 364 of the family's 3401-position model. The record is from RNAcentral. Lineage: Eukaryota; Metazoa; Arthropoda; Insecta; Diptera; Calliphoridae.
ACUAACAAGGAAUGUGAGAUGCAGUGUAUGGAAUGUCAAAUUUCUAAUAUGAGAAAUUAACGAUUUAAGUCCUUCUUAAAUGAGGCCAUUUACCCAAAGAGGGUGCCAGGCCCGUAUAACGUUAAUGAUUAUUAGAUGGCAUUUCCAAAGAGUCGUGUUGCUUGAUAGUGCAGCACUAAGUGGGUGGUAAACUCCAUCUAAAACUAAAUAUAACCAUGAGACCGAUAGUAAACAAGUACCGUGAGGGAAAGU